GCAGGAGACCCUUGCUGACCUGGUCCCACCCCUGCCGAGAGCUCGGCCGGAAGAUGGCGGCGGCCGCUGAGUUGACGCUGCUGGAGAAGUGUCUGGGGCUCAGUAAAGGCAACAAGUACAGCGCUCAGGGCGAGCGUCAGAUUCCAGUUCUUCAGACGAACAAUGGUCCAAGUCUAACGGGAUUGACUACCAUAGCAGCUCACCUAGUCCAGCAGGCCAACAAGGAAUAUUUGCUGGGGAGCACCGCGGAGGAAAAAGCAGUGGUUCAACAGUGGUUAGAAUACAGGGUAACUCAAGUAGAUGGACACUCCAGUAAAGACGACAUCCGCACUGUUCUGAAGGAUCUUAAUUCAUAUCUUGAAGAUAAAGUCUACCUUACAGGAUAUAACUUCACAUUAGCAGAUAUCCUCUUAUACUAUGGACUUCAUCGCUUUAUUGAAACGUCUUAUCAAUCCAGAGACAACUAGAGAUAACACAAGCCCUUCAGGGAGAUUCCACGGGUCAAAGAGCAAGGACACAGAGCAGCCCGGACCCCAGCCCAAGGGGAUGUCUCAUCUUCCCGUGCUUCUCCACAGCACGGCCUCUCCCCAGCAGGACAGCCUAGACUUCCUGACAGGAGCAAAAGCAGAAACUGCCAGGUGACUUAAGGCCCACCAUGUUCUACCCAUCAAAGCAAGUCACAAGGUCAGUUCAGACUCCAGGGGAGGGGAAACAAACUCCGUCUCUUGAUGGGCAGCAAGGGAGGAAACAUGGCAGCCAUCUUAGAGACUCUCCCACAUUCUCUGAUCUUCAGCUUCUGUAUCUGAAAAUGGGUAUUUUAAUAUUUAUCCUAACUAGAAUAAUGAGAAGAUGGUAUGUUAUGUGUGAUGACAUUUUAUAAAUUGUAAAGCGCCAAACACGUGCAAGACAUUAUAGUGGUGGCAAAUAAAGGUGAAUUGGGAGAAAGAGCAGAUUAUACAGGGCUUUAAAAGGAGAUAGAGGAGGUUAUUGAAAUAGUAUUUAUUGAGCAUUUGCUGUGCCAAGCACUGUUCUAAGUACUUUACAGGUAUUAACUUCUUUAAUCAUCACUUUAUAAUAUGGAUAUCUUAUUGCUAUUCUGUAGAAAAGGAACAUCAGGCAAGUGGCACAGUCAGAAUUUGAACCCAGUUCUGUCUGAUUCCAAAGUCUUAACUACUGCACCUGGAAUUUGUAAGGCCAGCAGGUCCGGGGAAGGGCCCAGGAAGCCAGACGGAACCCCCGCCAAAGUGGCUGAUGCAACCGACACCUGACAUUGCCACACCACUCGGCCCCGGUCUUCCCGCUCCCCGAGGGGCAGAACCAACGGCUCUGAGGCUGAUGCAACCGACACCUGACAUUGCCACAACACCCGAGAGAUUACCAAAAAAGGGCUGCUUCACACAGCAAGACCUCCCCUGUGUCCACCCCUAUACAUUUUGUUAGCGCCCGCACCCUGGGCGCGACUUCUCUGGCCCCUUUCUCUCGGACCAGUGAACCUCGCCCUGGAGCGUUCCCAAAUAAAGCUUGUUUAAGCUCU
Molecule: RNA transcript, 1534 nt
Organism: Aethalodelphis obliquidens (Pacific white-sided dolphin)
Lineage: Eukaryota; Metazoa; Chordata; Mammalia; Artiodactyla; Delphinidae
Gene: EEF1E1
Gene name: eukaryotic translation elongation factor 1 epsilon 1
Exons: 5
Source: RefSeq, a predicted model, not a curated record